Molecule: long non-coding RNA, 1484 nt
Filed under: Marmota monax (woodchuck)
Lineage: Eukaryota; Metazoa; Chordata; Mammalia; Rodentia; Sciuridae
Source: RNAcentral
CCGGGCGAAGCAGCCGGAUGGGAAACUCCCGGGCAGUGGCCGGAAAGGGGCGAAGAACUAGGAGCCGAGGGAGGGCUUGCCGGCCUGAGGCUGAAGCUAGGCUGAGGCUGAGGCUGCGGUUGUGUUCUGGCAGGACCUGUUUGUGGGCGCUGGCUGAAAAGAUUGAAAUGAAGGGAUGAAAAGGAGGGGGAAGUCAGCGAAUACCGGUUAAAAAAGGAGGAAUGCACAGCUGAUGGGUGAAGUCUAGGCUCUACCGUAUUUAAUCCCCGAGUUAACGAGCAUUUAUUCAAUCGUUUCCAAUUUUCUCUGCACCUUGUUGGGUAAGUUAGCAUUCUCACUUGGAUCAGUUGGUAAAGAAGUCUGAUUAGGUUUUACUUUCUUCAUCUGACAUCGUGGUUUCAAACAUAAUUUAGGGAAUAUCCUGGCGCCUUUAUCCUAAUGUUCCUUGGUGGAUUUUAGAAGAUGUUGGAAGAUAUGCACAUUGAACAAAACCAAAAAUUCUGAAACAUGGUCACCCAACAGUAAUAAGUAAUCUUUAGGGGAAGAAAUUGCAUGAAACUAAGAAUUUAUUUUUGUGGUGAUUCUGGAACAACUUUACCUUGCUCCUCUGCUGAAGUCUAUAAAAACUAUUGCAACUGGUAAGGUAAGUUGUCAAAAGUUAUAUCCCAAACUCAAUAUUACAGAAUCCAUCCUCUUGCUAGUUUAAAAAAAAAAAAGUGUAUCUAAGAUGGACCCAGACAAGAAAAAACUUAAAGCAGUGAAAGCACUAUUCUUAAGAUAAAAUAAUUGUAGAAAUACUUCGAAACUCUAUGUAUACAACUAUCCUUAUACCCAACUGUAAGGCCUUUUUAUGCAAAAGGAAGUAGUACCUUUUUUCCCUCCUAUUUUGGUAGUUGGGAUUGAACCCAGGGUCUCAUGCCUGCCAAGUAAGUGUUCUACCACUGAAUUAUAGCCCCAUACUUUGUUUGCUACUUUAAAAAAGUAAAUUUAUUGAAAUCAAAAGAAGCUUCUAAAAGAAUGAAGUAGAGUUCUGCUCUGCAAGAAGGAAUUAUGCUGAGAAUCUGGUUGCAGCAUUAUGCUAGAUGAAUUUUUUUAACUGGUAAAUGCCCCAAUGAAUUCAGGUUUUAAGACUUGAAGGAAAACUUUCUUGCCCCCCAAAAUGAAACUGAUCCCUCUAAAUGGAUGCCCAAAAUAUAAAAUUGUUUUUGGUUCGGGGUUAGAUUGUAAACCCUUUUUUUCCACCUGUAUUGAGAUUUGACAAAGUAUAUAUGUUUAAAGUGUACGACAUGUUUUUUAUAUAUGCAUAUGUUAUGCAAUGAUUACUCUCUUCCUCUGAUUUUUUUUUAUUGGAAACAUUUUUGUUACUGUUCACUUGUCCAUAUCAGAAUAAUUGUUCUUGAUUUUAUCACUCAUCUUAAUCAGUUUGGUUAGAUAUUCCAUUACUUUUUAUCCCAGUGCUUUAAUAAAAUAAAUUUAAAGAUGAC